UGAGGAAUAUUGGUCAAUGGACGGAAGUCUGAACCAGCCAUGCCGCGUGGAGGAAGAAGGUCCUAUGGGUUGUAAACUCCUUUUGUUCGAGAGUAAUAAGAGGCUUGCGAGCCUCGAUGAGAGUAUCGGACGAAUAAGCAUCGGCUAACUCCGUGCCAGCAGCCGCGGUAAUACGGAGGAUGCAAGCGUUAUCCGGAUUUAUUGGGUUUAAAGGGUGCGCAGGCGGCGCGUUAAGUCAGCGGUGAAAUGUCCGGGCUCAACCUGGGCAGUGCCGUUGAUACUGGCGUGCUAGAGUACAGACGGCGCCGGCGGAAUGUGUCAUGUAGCGGUGAAAUGCUUAGAUAUGCCACAGAACACCGAUCGCGAAGGCAGCUGGCGAGGCUGGUACUGACGCUCAGGCACGAAAGCGUGGGGAUCAAACAGG
This 424-nucleotide ribosomal RNA is filed under the name uncultured prokaryote. RNAcentral describes it as "bacterial SSU rRNA". It matches the Rfam family "Bacterial small subunit ribosomal RNA", at positions 355 to 776 of the family's 1533-position model. The record is from RNAcentral. RNAcentral also lists the same sequence under 1 other name.